RNAcentral lists this ribosomal RNA (253 nucleotides) under uncultured bacterium. RNAcentral describes it as "partial 16S ribosomal RNA". It matches the Rfam family "Bacterial small subunit ribosomal RNA", at positions 524 to 776 of the family's 1533-position model. The record is from RNAcentral.
UACAGAGGGUGCGAGCGUUAAUCGGAAUUACUGGGCGUAAAGGGUGCGUAGGCGGUAUUUUAAGUUAGAUGUGAAAUCCCUGGGCUUAACCUGGGAAUGGCAUUUAAGACUGGAAUGCUGGAGUAGAGUAGAGGGAAGUGGAAUUUCCGGUGUAGCGGUGAAAUGCGUAGAUAUCGGAAAGAACAUCAGUGGCGAAGGCGGCUUCCUGGACUCAUACUGACGCUGAGGCACGAAAGCAUGGGUAGCAAACAGG